CAGAGGGUGCGAGCGUUAAUCGGAGUUACUGGGCGUAAAGGGCGCGUAGGCGGAUAGUUAAGAUUGAUGUGAAAUCCCUGGGCUUAACCUAGGAACUGCGUUGAUUACUGAUUAUCUAGAGUACUGUAGAGGGUAGUGGAAUUUCCGGUGUAGCGGUGAAAUGCGUAGAGAUCGGAAGGAACACCAGUGGCGAAGGCGGCUACCUGGACAGAUACUGACGCUGAGGCGCGAGAGCGUGGGGAGCAAACAGGAUUAGAUACCCUGGUAGUCCACGCUGUAAACGAUGAAGACUAGAUGUUGGUCAGCAUGACUGAUUAGUAUCGAAGCUAACGCGAUAAGUCUUCCGCCUGGGGAGUACGACCGCAAGGUUA
Molecule: ribosomal RNA, 371 nt
Filed under: uncultured organism
Description: bacterial SSU rRNA
Rfam family: Bacterial small subunit ribosomal RNA
Source: RNAcentral